This 459-nucleotide ribosomal RNA is filed under the name uncultured bacterium. RNAcentral's name for it is "partial 16S ribosomal RNA". It matches the Rfam family "Bacterial small subunit ribosomal RNA", at positions 338 to 795 of the family's 1533-position model. The record is from RNAcentral.
CCUACGGGAGGCAGCAGUGAGGAAUAUUGGUCAAUGGCCGGAAGGCUGAACCAGCCAAGCCGCGUGAAGGACGAAGGUGCCAAGCAUUGUAAACUUCUUUUGUCAAGGGACAAAAUCAGGCUCGAGAGCCUGACCGAGGGUACUUGAAGAAAAAGCAUCGGCUAACUCCGUGCCAGCAGCCGCGGUAAUACGGAGGGAGCAAGCGUUGUCCGGAAUUACUGGGUGUAAAGGGAGCGUAGGCGGGAUAGUAAGUUGAUUGUUAAAACUAUCGGCUCAACUGGUAGAUGCGAUCAAAACUGCAAUUCUUGAGUGAAGUAGAGGCAGGCGGAAUUCCUAGUGUAGCGGUGAAAUGCGUAGAUAUUAGGAGGAACACCAGUGGCGAAGGCGGCCUGCUGGGCUUUAACUGACGCUGAGGCUCGAAAGUGUGGGUAGCAAACAGGAUUAGAUACCCUAGUAGUC